This 267-nucleotide ribosomal RNA is filed under the name uncultured bacterium. RNAcentral describes it as "partial 16S ribosomal RNA". It matches the Rfam family "Bacterial small subunit ribosomal RNA", at positions 355 to 618 of the family's 1533-position model. The record is from RNAcentral.
UGAGGAAUAUUGGUCAAUGGGCGCAAGCCUGAACCAGCCAUCCCGCGUGCAGGAAGACGGCCCUAUGGGUUGUAAACUGCUUUUCCAGGGGGAGAAACUUGCGCACGUGUUGCGCAAUUGACGGUACCCUGGGAAUAAGCAUCGGCUAACCCCGUGCCAGCAGCCGCGGUAAUACGGAGGAUGCGAGCGUUAUCCGGAUUCAUUGGGUUUAAAGGGUGCGUAGGCGGACUAUUAAGUCAGUGGUGAAAUCCUGCAGCUUAACUGCAG